This 1695-nucleotide ribosomal RNA is filed under the name uncultured eukaryote. Its description in RNAcentral is "SSU rRNA". It matches the Rfam family "Eukaryotic small subunit ribosomal RNA". The record is from RNAcentral.
AGUAGUCAUAUGCUUGUCUUAAGGAUUAAGCCAUGCAUGUGUAAGUAUAAACCGUAUACAGUGAGACUGCGAAUGGCUCAUUAAAACAGUUAUAGUUUAUUUGACGAUUCUCUACAUGGAUAACCGUGGUAAUUCUAGGGCUAAUACAUGCUGAAGGACCCGACUUUCGGGAAGGGUUGUAUUUAUUAGAUUUCAAACCGCCGCCCUCGGGCGCCGUGGCGAGUCAUAGUAACUGGUCGGAUCGCGUUCGUCGCGAUGGGUCAUUCAAGUUUCUGCCCUAUCAGCUUUCGAUGGUAGUGUAUUGGACUACCAUGGCAGUCACGGGUAACGGGGAAUUAGGGUUCGAUUCCGGAGAGGGAGCCUGAGAAACGGCUACCACAUCUAAGGAAGGCAGCAGGCGCGUAAAUUACCCAAUCCCGACUCGGGGAGGUAGUGACAAGAAAUAACAACUCGGGGGCCAUCGGCUCUACGAGAUUGAAAUGAGGACAAUUUAAAUCCCUUAUCGAGGAACAAUUGGAGGGCAAGUCUGGUGCCAGCAGCCGCGGUAAUUCCAGCUCCAAUAGCGUAUAUUAAAGUUGUUGCAGUUAAAAAGCUCGUAGUUGAAGGUCUGGCCGGGUGACAUUGUGGCUUCGGUCGUGUGGCACACGGCCAUCCGCCCCCCGAACCACGCUCGGUCUUCACUGAUCGACGUGGGGAGACGGCGAUUUACUUUGAAAAAACUAGAGUGUUUCAGGCAGGCGAGCGCCGGGAUACAUUAGCAUGGAAAUAAUGGAAUAGGACUGCGGUCCGCGUCGCUGGUUACGGGCCGCGUAAUGGUUAACAGGAACGGUUGGGGGCAUUUAGUAUUUAAUUGUCAGAGGUGAAAUUCUUGGGAUUUAUUAAAAGACUCACGUGUGCGAAAGCAUUUGCCAAGGAUGUUUUUCAUUAAUCAAGAACGAAAGUUAGGGGAUCAAAGACGAUCAGAUACCGUCCUAGUCUUAACUAUAAACCAUACCGACUCGGGAUCGGCGGGGUCUCGUGGCCCCGUCGGCACCGUAUGAGAAAUCAAAGUCUUUGGGUUCUGGGGGGAGUAUGGUCGCAAGUCUGAAACUUAAAGGAAUUGACGGAAGGGCACCACCAGGAGUGGAGCCUGCGGCUUAAUUUGACUCAACACGGGGAAACUUACCAGGGCAAAACAUGGGUGGGAUUGACAGAUUGAGAGCUCUUUCUUGAUUCUAUGGGUGGUGGUGCAUGGCCGUUCUUAGUUGGUGGAGUGAUUUGUCUGGUUAAUUCCGAUAACGAACGAGACCUUAACCUGCUAACUAGGCCCGUGCCCUCAGGCGCGGCGCCUUCUUAGAGGGACUGCGUGCAGUAAGCUCGCGGAAGUUUGAGGCAAUAACAGGUCUGUGAUGCCCUUAGAUGUCCUGGGCCGCACGCGCGCUACACUGGUGCGUUCAGCGAGUACCUGACCCGGAAGGGUGCGGGCAAUCUCGGCAGUACGCACCGUGCUGGGGAUCGAUCUUUGGAACUAUAGAUCUUGAACGAGGAAUUCCUAGUAAGCACAGGUCAUCAACCCGUGCUGAUUACGUCCCUGCCCUUUGUACACACCGCCCGUCGCUCCUACCGAUUUCGAGUGAUCCGGUGAACCUUCUGGACUGCGCCGGCCUUGAGCCGUGCGCGGGAAGUUAAGUAAACCUUAUCACUUAGAGGAAGGAG